GACCACCAACCAGCUUACGCUGGAAACGAGGUCAGAUGCUGUGGCGUCAUUAGCGGGGGAGUCCUGGAGGCUCGUCGUCCAAUCACAAGCUACCUCGCUUUGUGAAGUAGAGGUACUUAAAACUUACCAACUUACGUGGGCUGGAGGAGGGUCUUCAGCAGAGGACUGAGGACAAAGUUGAAAGGAGAUACAGUGUAUCAGCUUCAUUCUCAAGGGUCUCACACGCACACAAGGUGAAUCUAUUCAUUAAUUUCUUAUUUUAGCAUGUCGAGCACUUUUAGAGAAACCACUCACUGAUCUGUUUGUUGCAGACAACCCCCCACCCCUUAAUAAAUAAAACAAUAAAUUUAAAAAAAUAUUAAAAUAAGACAAUAAAUUAAAAAAUGAUCAAAACAACAAAAAUAUUCACAACAUAUUCUCCCCUCUCAGGCCGUUCGAGAUGUAGAUGAGUUUGGUUCUUUACUGGAACAGAUUUGGAGAAAUGUUUGGAUCCUCUGCAGUGAAUGGGUGCCGUCAGCUGAUAAAAACAUCAGUUAUCCAUGAGUAAUUCACACUAUUCCAGUCCAUCAAUUAAUGCCUCGAUGGAUUUUAUUACAAACAGAUUUUUGCUUGACAAGACUUUAAUUAAUUGACGGACUGGAGUCGUGUGGAUGAUGUAAAUUAUUGUGAUAUUUUUGUAAGCCGUUUGGACUCUCACCUAUUCAUUACAGAGAACUCACUGGUUAAGGAAGUCAUGCUAAAUUCCUCUGAAUCUGUUCCAAUGGGCUUGCACGUGCAAUUUAUUUUCACCCCAAAAUAGUUUUCCGUGUUAUAAUUACAACGGUUUAUGAAAAGUGAGGCUUUUAAGGAAUGCUUUUUGUCCCGUCGCGUGUCCAAUGAUGUCAGUGUUUCAGUGUGCUGUUACUUUUCUUGCCACAUUUAUUCCAGAUAAGGAUGUAACCAAACAUACAAGAUUAGAGGUAGAAAAAUGUAAGUUAAAGUUGAAGCCACUGAAUAACCCAGUCCGAUAUGUAUCCAUCGAUGUCUAUGACUAGAGUUAUGGCUUUAAUCCCAGAUGGCUAAAACUAGGAAUUCAUUUGUAUCCAAUUUCUCUCAAAUCACAUUAUUUUUUAAAAUGUAGAAGUGGGUCAUCAUUGGGUUGCUUUUUUCUAUGUCAAAAAAGGCAAUCCAGUUUAAUAUACAAUCCAUUUCCACUCAUCCACCCCUAGAUAAGCAGUUCAAGGCUGUAAGUAUGUGUACACACUUCCAUUUUUAUGCCUUUAAAAGUCUGAACUACCUACCAGCAUUGUUUCUGAAAUGCUUUUCAUUCAUUCUAGUUUCUCUAAUUAAAGCAAGCACAAUUUCUGUGCGUAUGAUAGCAUUAGACUAAAGCAGUUCAUUUGUUAUUAACAAAAACCUCUAGAUUACGAGCCAAAAAAAAGUGUGUAAUACUCUCUAAAAAGUGUAAAGUACACUCUUAAAACUGUAUCCUUGCAUUUAAUAGGUUUUUUGGGGAGAAAAGCGAGAGCUUGUUUCAUCUAAAACAAAUCUAUCAAAUUAACAAAACACCUUUGAAGAGUUAUGGGUUAUGUAUUAUCUCAUACAAAACGAAAAGUUGCGGUACAAAGAAUAAAAAUACUUGAAACACGAGUGCAUAAGCAUGCCACAAAAUAUCUGCAAAUCAAUGCGGUUUAGCGCAUGUCUGGCUCUGAAAUGUUUGUUGAGGUUGUUUGCCUAUAGGUGGCGCAUAUUUGCCUAAAAAUUGGUAGAGCAAAGGGUUUAUGAAUUCUGUCAAUAACGACUUAUUCUUAUCAGACCAGAUAAAGCACACCACUGUAAAAGUCUCCUACAGCGCUUACUUACGUUAUUUGCACAAGUGGAGUAUCCGCAUUAGAGUAUUACAGGAAGGCGACACCUGCAAUCAGGGUGGUUUUGUCUUAUAAUAACUGUAAUCGAGUCAUGUUUAACAAGCUCUUGAAAGCUGUACACAAUUCUGUUCAACUGUAGUGACAGCUGUUAGGGGUUUUCAGGCUACAGUUUUAUCAGAAAGUAGUGCAACCUCUAAAGCGUGUGAUUAAAAACAGCAAACUUCCUCUUUACAUGUCAAACGUACUGUUAGUAAUCAACAAAAUCAAGCACAAGCAGCGUUGAUCUAAUAAAGUUUAUUUUCUUAAAAAUGACCAGUUUCUGUUCUUUUCUAGGAAAUUAAACCCUUUUUAAAUUCAUACUAGCAUCUACAUAAUGGUUAUUGAAGACUUCACAAUAUAUUAAGUCUAGAUGUUAUGGUACACAUGCAUAAAAUUCAGGCUGCAUGAGAAGCCACAGUCACCACAUUACACAUAGAUGGAGUUUGAGGGGCAAAAAAGACGAUGGGGCUGUAGAGAUACUUGUCUCAGCUUCAAAGAGGCCAGAGGCCUCCGAUAUAACCAACUCCAGCAAGGCUUUUCAAAAUCACUAUCAUACUUAAAACAGGCACAA
Long non-coding RNA from Puntigrus tetrazona (Sumatra barb), 2457 nucleotides. RefSeq lists it as uncharacterized. The record is from RefSeq and is a predicted model, not a curated record. The transcript has 2 exons. NCBI's taxonomy places the organism in Eukaryota, Metazoa, Chordata, Actinopteri, Cypriniformes, Cyprinidae.